CCAAGCUGACCAAAAUUGAACCAACUUUCUCUGUGGGAUUAUCCACGAGAAAACUGAGUGGAUUUGUGAGACACACAGAGAGACAGACGGAGAGAGAAAACGCACAAGAGGUGGGACUCGGCGAGACAGGCAAAGGCAGCCGCGCUUCUGGCACACUGCCUGACAGACACAGAUACAGGGACGGGCUCACAGUCUCCUCCUGUUUGGAGAAUGAAAUUCGCCACCCUGUAAAGGAAGACAAGAAAAUCCAGACUCUCUACAAAGUAUCAUUCACAAAGUCCAGCGUGCAACAGAAAGUGACUAGACAUGUGAAGAAACAGAAAAAUGUGACCCGUAAAAGCAAAUGAGCAGGUUUCCAGUAAGCCAUCAGAUAGCAAGAAAAAGUCAUCACAAACCAGAUACUUAAUGCCUACUCAUG
This 418-nucleotide long non-coding RNA is filed under the name Equus caballus (horse). RNAcentral's name for it is "lncRNA (ENSECAG00000052378.1)". The record is from RNAcentral. Lineage: Eukaryota; Metazoa; Chordata; Mammalia; Perissodactyla; Equidae.